This 568-nucleotide ribosomal RNA is filed under the name uncultured bacterium. RNAcentral's name for it is "bacterial SSU rRNA". It matches the Rfam family "Bacterial small subunit ribosomal RNA", at positions 338 to 916 of the family's 1533-position model. The record is from RNAcentral.
CCUACGGGAGGCAGCAGUAGGGAAUCUUGCACAAUGGGCGCAAGCCUGAUGCAGCGACGCCGCGUGGGGGACGAAGGCCUUAGGGUUGUAAACCCCUUUCGGCAGGGAAGAAGCGCAAGUGACGGUACCUGCAGAAGAAGUCCCGGCUAACUACGUGCCAGCAGCCGCGGUAAGAUGUAGGGGACGAGCGUUGUCCGGAUUCAUUGGGCGUAAAGCGCGCGUAGGCGGUUCGGAAAGUCGGAUGUGAAAACACGAGGCUCAACCUCGUGCGUGCAUCCGAAACUUCCGGACUAGAGGUAGGUAGGGGAGAUCGGAAUUCCUGGUGUAGCGGUGAAAUGCGCAGAUAUCAGGAGGAACACCGGUGGCGAAGGCGGAUCUCUGGGCCUUACCUGACGCUGAGGCGCGAAAGCUAGGGGAGCAAACAGGAUUAGAUACCCUGGUAGUCCUAGCCGUAAACGUUGGGUGCUAGGUGUGGGAGGACAUCGACCCCUUCCGUGCCGAAGCUAACGCAUUAAGCACCCCGCCUGGGGAGUACGGCCGCAAGGCUAAAACUCAAAGGAAUUGACGG